AGGUCCGACAUCCCUGUCUACAUAGCCCAGCAAUAUCACCAAAAGAUCAAGAGCAGGCUCAGCUACUGUGCUAUGAUGAAGAGCGGGAAACAGCUUGGCCGGUUUCCAGCCCACAUACCAGUUCCUUUCCUGUCUAACCAGGAGCAAGAAGAGAUGGAGGUGAGCUACCCAGCUGCCUCACUGCCUUCCAUGGAAAAAUGAGAAAAAACCAGAAAGGCACUGAGAAGGGAGUGGGUGGCAGGCAUUUAAAAACCUCUUCAGCAAAAACAAAUGCUUUCUGGACCACAGGAGGAUGUAGACUAUUUUUUCUAAAUAUUCCAUUACAACAUUGCCUGCCAGAUAAUUCACAGGAGUCUCAUAAAUUGGACGACACAUGUGCAUCACAGAGAAGAGACAACUGCCUUAUGUCAUAAUAUAUGUGGUUGUAUGUUUCUACGCAGAGCUGGGUGAUGAGGGCCCCAUCAUGAAGCAGAUUGAGGAAAAAGUAGAAAUUAGAUGCCGGCCAUUUUAUUUCCCACAGGAUAAGUACAGAUGGGACUAGACUAGAGUCAGGAACUUGAGUGUAUUUCUGAUGGACUCUUUCAUGGCUGAUUGCGCAUCUGCCUAAUUACAGAUUUCUCUCUCAGGGUUUAGAUGGUGACCCUCAAAUAGCUGAUGUGAACAAAGUACAAAAUGCAUGGGCAUAUACUGACAGUCAAAGCAGCAGUUUGCAGGAGUGUUGCAUUAAAGAAAGAAAGAUAAAACCCUCCCUCUCUGGGGCAGUCUACAUUCUCUAACACAGGGCUGCUGAACUUCAGCCUUCCAGCUGUUUUUGGUCUACGACUUUCAUCAUCUCCAACCACAGUGGCUAAUAGUCAAGGAUUUGGGGAGUUGUAUGCAGACAUCUCCAGGAGGGUCAAAGUUGAGCAGCCCUGCUCUAGCAGCUUCAGAGUUUGCAUGUCGAAGGUCCCAAAUCCAAUCUAUGGCAUCUCUGGUUACAAAGAUCAGGUAGAAGAUGAUAGUGAAGUUCUCUGCCUGAAAUCCUGGAGAAUCAUUGCUAGCUAGAGUAGGUGAUAUUGGGCUAGAUGGACCAACGGUCACAAAAUGAGGCAGUUUCAUAGGAUGGGCCUUAUAGGUAGCAUUGAUAUUAUGUGGCAUAAGUUCUGAAUUGUUUUGUCAAACUUGCAAUUCUGACAGUCUCAUCUUACAUCAGGUGUCCAGUCCUAGAAAUAUGGGCACUUAUUAAAUUUAGGGUGGGCCAGUGCUCUUGUGGAAUACUAGAGCCCAGUUUUACUGUGACUGAGCCCGCCUUUCUCUGUCUUUCUUACCAUUUCAUGAUCUGCUUUAUGAUUCUUGGGCAGAAUGCUACAUUCUUGGAGAUGGGAUUCAACAGAGGCCACUGGACUGGAACUGAUGAGGGCUUGCCUUAGGUUUCAGGGUUUACUACUUCCCCACCAUGCACAAGCACCUGCCAGUUCAGACAGAGCAUAGGCUGAUGAUUCCCAUUCCUCUAGUAGCAGAAUGAGGGUAGUGUCACCAUGUAUGUGUCCUAGAGCCAUCAUGUGUGUGCAUUGUUGUGUACUGCCCUUAUAGAGAGGGAACCUAUAUAGCCUCAGGAUCAGAAGGCCACAUGAAAGAAGUGAGGGGAACAGCUGCAGUUUUUCAACAAAAGCUUGUGUGAAUGAUUGGCCUGUACAAUCUUCUCAGGGGCUUGAACGGACCUAAGAGUCCAUUUAGAGGACUAGAUGGGCUAGAAACUAAAGAUGGCCUACAAAUAUUAUGCUUAGGUUUUCCCUUCCCAUCUAAAUUUAUGUACUGUGCA
Hemicordylus capensis (graceful crag lizard) is the source of this 1801-nucleotide long non-coding RNA. RefSeq lists it as uncharacterized. The transcript is spliced from 3 exons. Lineage: Eukaryota; Metazoa; Chordata; Lepidosauria; Squamata; Cordylidae. The record is from RefSeq and is a predicted model, not a curated record.